GAUGAACGCUGGCGGCGUGCCUAAUACAUGCAAGUCGAGCGAACAGACGAGGAGCUUGCUCCUCUGACGUUAGCGGCGGACGGGUGAGUAACACGUGGAUAACCUACCUAUAAGACUGGGAUAACUUCGGGAAACCGGAGCUAAUACCGGAUAAUAUAUUGAACCGCAUGGUUCAAUAGUGAAAGACGGUUUUGCUGUCACUUAUAGAUGGAUCCGCGCCGCAUUAGCUAGUUGGUAAGGUAACGGCUUACCAAGGCAACGAUGCGUAGCCGACCUGAGAGGGUGAUCGGCCACCCUGGAAAUGAGACACGGUCCAGACCCCUAAGGGAGGCAGCAGUGGGGAAUAUUGCCCAAUGGGCGCAAGCCUGACGGAGCCACGCCGCGUGGGUGAAGAAGGGCUUCGGGUUGUAAAACCCUUUUUUUGGGGAAGAAAAAAAGUGGAAGUAAACAAGGCCGUUUUGACGGUACCCAAAGAAAAAGCCCCGGCUAACUUCGUG
Molecule: ribosomal RNA, 497 nt
Filed under: uncultured bacterium
Lineage: Bacteria
Description: partial 16S ribosomal RNA
Rfam family: Bacterial small subunit ribosomal RNA
Source: RNAcentral